RNAcentral lists this ribosomal RNA (896 nucleotides) under Bacillus subtilis. RNAcentral's name for it is "bacterial SSU rRNA". It matches the Rfam family "Bacterial small subunit ribosomal RNA", at positions 1 to 875 of the family's 1533-position model. The record is from RNAcentral. Lineage: Bacteria; Bacillati; Bacillota; Bacilli; Caryophanales; Bacillaceae.
CGGCGCCUUUAGAGUUUGAUUCUGGCUCAGGACGAACGCCGGCGGCGUGCCUAAUACAUGCAAGUCGAGCGGACAGAUGGGAGCUUGCUCCCUGAUGUUAGCGGCGGACGGGUGAGUAACACGUGGGUAACCUGCCUGUAAGACUGGGAUAACUCCGGGAAACCGGGGCUAAUACCGGAUGGUUGUCUGAACCGCAUGGUUCAAACAUAAAAGGUGGCUUCGGCUACCACUUACAGAUGGACCCGCGGCGCAUUAGCUAGUUGGUGAGGUAACGGCUCACCAAGGCAACGAUGCGUAGCCGACCUGAGAGGGUGAUCGGCCACACUGGGACUGAGACACGGCCCAGACUCCUACGGGAGGCAGCAGUAGGGAAUCUUCCGCAAUGGACGAAAGUCUGACGGAGCAACGCCGCGUGAGUGAUGAAGGUUUUCGGAUCGUAAAGCUCUGUUGUUAGGGAAGAACAAGUACCGUUCGAAUAGGGCGGUACCUUGACGGUACCUAACCAGAAAGCCACGGCUAACUACGUGCCAGCAGCCGCGGUAAUACGUAGGUGGCAAGCGUUGUCCGGAAUUAUUGGGCGUAAAGGGCUCGCAGGCGGUUUCUUAAGUCUGAUGUGAAAGCCCCCGGCUCAACCGGGGAGGGUCAUUGGAAACUGGGGAACUUGAGUGCAGAAGAGGAGAGUGGAAUUCCACGUGUAGCGGUGAAAUGCGUAGAGAUGUGGAGGAACACCAGUGGCGAAGGCGACUCUCUGGUCUGUAACUGACGCUGAGGAGCGAAAGCGUGGGGAGCGAACAGGAUUAGAUACCCUGGUAGUCCACGCCGUAAACGAUGAGUGCUAAGUGUUAGGGGGUUUCCGCCCCUUAGUGCUGCAGCUAACGCAUUAAGCACUCCGCAGU